UGCCAGCCGCCGCGGUAAUACAGAGGUCUCAAGCGUUGUUCGGAUUUACUGGGCGUAAAGGGUGCGUAGGCGGCGAGGUAAGUCAGAUGUGAAAGCUCAGGGCUCAACCCUGGAAAUGCAUCCGAUACUGCCUUGCUAGAGUAGUGGAGGGGCGACUGGAAUUCAUGGUGUAGCAGUGAAAUGCGUAGAUAUCAUGAGGAACACUAGUGGCGAAGGCGAGUCGCUGGACACUUACUGACGCUGAGGCACGAAGGCCAGGGUAGCGAAAGGGAUUAGAUA
RNAcentral lists this ribosomal RNA (279 nucleotides) under uncultured bacterium. Its description in RNAcentral is "partial 16S ribosomal RNA". It matches the Rfam family "Bacterial small subunit ribosomal RNA", at positions 506 to 784 of the family's 1533-position model. The record is from RNAcentral.